Molecule: long non-coding RNA, 1122 nt
Organism: Corticium candelabrum
Lineage: Eukaryota; Metazoa; Porifera; Homoscleromorpha; Homosclerophorida; Plakinidae
Exons: 3
Source: RefSeq, a predicted model, not a curated record
CCUGCUAACGUGCGUACUGGGUUCAUUGUGACAUUAUCGUUCGUAUUAUGUUAUGGAUGCGGUGAUGGAGUGUACGUGCACGCGUUCUUGAACAUGCAUAGCUAGUCUAGUCGUUUUCAAUAGAAGGAGCACCUAGUUUUGAAGUGUUCAUUGCGUCACUACGGAAGCCGAGUGUCACGUAAUUUGGAUACAAAGAACAAGUUUCGGAAUGUAUUUCACAUGAUUUAUUUGAAUUUCUUUUUAUCCACUGACGAAGGUUCUGUUUGUCGACUUUGUAUUUUGUUGCCACGCAUUGUUCAGAGAUGAUGCUCUACCUUCCUUCACAAUAUUCAAUUUUUCAGAUCUCUUUUUCUCUUCGUAGACAGUUCUUGGCAAAUGGCAAACUAAACAAUGAGUGUGAACAAUGUCGGAUACCAGUCUUCGGCUCCAAGGCAUGGGUUACUGUUCAAACAUGGGUUACUAUCAUUUCAAACUGAUCUGAUCCUUCAGUUAUAUUCGAGUACAGUUUAUUAUUCAAGGAAAUAUGAAAGUGUGAAGAAAGAAUGAAGACGAUAAAGCAGCAAUGAUGUAUACUGGGUUUAUUUAUGUAUUUUCAAUAGUGUAGUACAGUACUGUGCAGAUAUAACACUACAUCAGAGGUUUCACUGAUCAACUAUUUAUAUAUAUAUAAUAACAGUAUUUGCCGAGCGUAGUUAAUUACUGUUUCUUUUUACGUUUGUUCUUUUUAUCUGAGACUACUGUAUGUACAGUAUUUUAGCCUGGGGCCACAAUUUGACCCAUCACCAUGGAAGGUGUAGGUCCUUGGAUUCCUAAACAAUUGCUAACGCACAAGCUGCACUUACGAUGUAGACCGCUUUCCUUCUCCACGGGCAGCGAAUUUUUUGCCUCCGUGAAUGCAGCUAUACGUCAUCUCGUAGUAUGUAAUUGCGUCAGAAAGGGGACGAUUGAUUCGCUUCCGGGCAGCCUCAACACUUCUCGAGUCUCUUCUCCAUAAUUUUGUAUAUGUUUAUGACUCAUACACCGACAAUCGCUCUUGUAGGUCGGCGAAUAAGUUCAAUCUUUUCCCAACAGAAAAGAAUGCGGAAUCAGUCGGACUUCCCGCCAUUCGUCGCUUCUAAUUAG